RNAcentral lists this ribosomal RNA (584 nucleotides) under Peniophorella praetermissa. Its description in RNAcentral is "SSU rRNA". It matches the Rfam family "Bacterial small subunit ribosomal RNA", at positions 354 to 965 of the family's 1533-position model. Lineage: Eukaryota; Fungi; Basidiomycota; Agaricomycetes; Hymenochaetales. The record is from RNAcentral.
UCCAAGAAUAUUAGUCAAUGCUCGCAAGAGUGAACUAGCUAACUGAAAUCGAAGGAGUGUCUUCUUUGAUAAAAUAUAGAUAAAUAAUGAUUUCUAUAUCAAUAGUGUUGUCCAAAACUGGUGCCAGAAGACUCGGUAAUACCAGAGACGCGAACGUUAGUCAUCUUUAACAGGCGUAAAGAAUUCGCAGGCGUCUUCGAAAGCUUAUACUUUUUAAUAGUUUACCUCAAGGUUAAAAAAGGAUAAGUGAUUUGAAGAUAGAAUCUAAUAGAGGAUGUAAAAAAUACUGAGAGUAGGGUUAAAAUCCGCAAAACCUUGGUGGAAUUUCAAUGGCGAAGGCUAUUCAUCUAGUUACAGAUUGACGCUGAGGAAUGAAGGUGUGGAUACCGAAAGAGAUUAGAGACCUCAUUAGCCCACACAGUCAACGAUGUAUGGUAGUCUGCUAGUAUAUAAAAUAUUGGUGGCGAAGUUAACGCGUUUACCAUACCGCCUUGCGAGUACGACUGCAAAGUUGAAAUCUAAAAAAUUAGUCGGUCUCGAAGCAAACGAAGUGAAGCAUGUUAUUUAAUUCGAUAAAUCGCAAA